GACGAACCGUGCUAACGUUGUUCGGAAUCACUGGGCUUAAAGGGUGCGUAGGCGGCCGUGUAAGUCGGGUGUGAAAGGCCUCGGCUUAACCGAGGAACGGCGCCCGAUACUGCUCGGCUCGAGGGAGGUAGGGGCGCGUGGAACUUCCGGUGGAGCGGUGAUAUGCGUUGAUAUCGGAAGGAACGCCGGUGGCGAAAGCGACGCGCUGGACCUCUUCUGACGCUGAGGCACGAAAGCUAGGGGAGCAAACGGG
This 253-nucleotide unclassified non-coding RNA is filed under the name uncultured Planctomycetia bacterium. RNAcentral's name for it is "contains 16S-23S intergenic spacer region". It matches the Rfam family "Bacterial small subunit ribosomal RNA", at positions 524 to 776 of the family's 1533-position model. The record is from RNAcentral. Lineage: Bacteria; Pseudomonadati; Planctomycetota; Planctomycetia.